This 420-nucleotide ribosomal RNA is filed under the name uncultured eukaryote. RNAcentral's name for it is "bacterial SSU rRNA". It matches the Rfam family "Eukaryotic small subunit ribosomal RNA", at positions 592 to 1013 of the family's 1831-position model. The record is from RNAcentral.
CAAUAGCGUAUAUUAAAGUUGUUGCAGUUAAAAGCUCGUAGUUGGAUUUCUGGCAGGAGCGACCGGUCGCACGCUAUGCGUGUGAACUUGUGUUGUCUCUGGCCAUCCUUGGGGAGAUCCCGUUUGGCAUUAAGUUGUCGGGCGGGGGAUACCCAUCGUUUACUGUGAAAAAUUAGAGUGUUUCUAGCAGGCAGCUCGCUCUUGCAUAGGUUAGCAUGGGAUAAUUUAAUAGGACUCUGGUGCUAUUUUGUUGGUUUCGAACACCGGAGUAAUGAUUAAAAGGGGCAGUCAGGGGCACUCGUAUUCCGUCGAGAGAGGUGAAAUUCUCAGACCAAUGGAAGACGGACCACUGCGAAAGCAUUUGCCAGGGAUGUUUUCACUGAUCAAGAACGAAAGUUAGGGGAUCGAAGACGAUUAGAU